This 1409-nucleotide ribosomal RNA is filed under the name Escherichia coli. RNAcentral's name for it is "partial 23S ribosomal RNA". It matches the Rfam family "Bacterial large subunit ribosomal RNA", at positions 1 to 1440 of the family's 2925-position model. Lineage: Bacteria; Pseudomonadati; Pseudomonadota; Gammaproteobacteria; Enterobacterales; Enterobacteriaceae. The record is from RNAcentral.
GGGUUGUGAGGUUAAGCGACUAAGCGUACACGGUGGAUGCCCUGGCAGUCAGAGGCGAUGAAGGACGUGCUAAUCUGCGAUAAGCGUCGGUAAGGUGAUAUGAACCGUUAUAACCGGCGAUUUCCGAAUGGGGAAACCCAGUGUGAUUCGUCACACUAUCAUUAACUGAAUCCAUAGGUUAAUGAGGCGAACCGGGGGAACUGAAACAUCUAAGUACCCCGAGGAAAAGAAAUCAACCGAGAUUCCCCCAGUAGCGGCGAGCGAACGGGGAGCAGCCCAGAGCCUGAAUCAGUGUGUGUGUUAGUGGAAGCGUCUGGAAAGGCGUGCGAUACAGGGUGACAGCCCCGUACACAAAAAUGCACAUACUGUGAGCUCGAUGAGUAGGGCGGGACACGUGGUAUCCUGUCUGAAUAUGGGGGGACCAUCCUCCAAGGCUAAAUACUCCUGACUGACCGAUAGUGAACCAGUACCGUGAGGGAAAGGCGAAAAGAACCCCGGCGAGGGGAGUGAAAAAGAACCUGAAACCGUGUACGUACAAGCAGUGGGAGCACGCUUAGGCGUGUGACUGCGUACCUUUUGUAUAAUGGGUCAGCGACUUAUAUUCUGUAGCAAGGUUAACCGAAUAGGGGAGCCGAAGGGAAACCGAGUCUUAACUGGGCGUUAAGUUGCAGGGUAUAGACCCGAAACCCGGUGAUCUAGCCAUGGGCAGGUUGAAGGUUGGGUAACACUAACUGGAGGACCGAACCGACUAAUGUUGAAAAAUUAGCGGAUGACUUGUGGCUGGGGGUGAAAGGCCAAUCAAACCGGGAGAUAGCUGGUUCUCCCCGAAAGCUAUUUAGGUAGCGCCUCGUGAAUUCAUCUCCGGGGGUAGAGCACUGUUUCGGCAAGGGGGUCAUCCCGACUUACCAACCCGAUGCAAACUGCGAAUACCGGAGAAUGUUAUCACGGGAGACACACGGCGGGUGCUAACGUCCGUCGUGAAGAGGGAAACAACCCAGACCGCCAGCUAAGGUCCCAAAGUCAUGGUUAAGUGGGAAACGAUGUGGGAAGGCCCAGACAGCCAGGAUGUUGGCUUAGAAGCAGCCAUCAUUUAAAGAAAGCGUAAUAGCUCACUGGUCGAGUCGGCCUGCGCGGAAGAUGUAACGGGGCUAAACCAUGCACCGAAGCUGCGGCAGCGACGCUUAUGCGUUGUUGGGUAGGGGAGCGUUCUGUAAGCCUGUGAAGGUGUGCUGUGAGGUAUGCUGGAGGUAUCAGAAGUGCGAAUGCUGACAUAAGUAACGAUAAAGCGGGUGAAAAGCCCGCUCGCCGGAAGACCAAGGGUUCCUGUCCAACGUUAAUCGGGGCAGGGUGAGUCGACCCCUAAGGCGAGGCCGAAAGGCGUAGUCGAUGGGAAACAGGUUAAUAUUCCU